Long non-coding RNA from Trifolium pratense (red clover), 717 nucleotides. RefSeq lists it as uncharacterized. The record is from RefSeq and is a predicted model, not a curated record. The transcript has 2 exons. Lineage: Eukaryota; Viridiplantae; Streptophyta; Magnoliopsida; Fabales; Fabaceae.
ACUGUUAAAACUCACAAUUUCUCAGUGGUCGGACAUCACUUGCUUUAUUGAGCGUAGUGGUCUUCCACUAUUAAAGUAUCGUAUCAGUGAGGAUGCAAUAACCAUAGGGGGGCAGAGAACAAUUGAUUUGAUGUUGAGUUGUAAAAGAAAAAGUGAAGAAAUAGUCAUUCGUUUUCCUUACUAUCCUAGUGGGAGGAGACAAAGUUGGUGGAUUUUAUUAUUUGAUGCACAAGACCAAUUGCUUACGGUCGAAUUUGUUUCUUCUUGGACAUCUAACACCACAACCCCAUUAAGGUUUCAGUGUCCAGUUCAGGCUGAAAAUGCUACAUAUAACCUCAUGUUUGUAAGUGAGUCAAUUAAGGGUGUUAGUGUAAUGCAAAGCUUUAUUGUGAAUGGUUGGGCCGUGGGGUAAAAGGUGGCUGGCUACAUUUGCAAUGGUCUUCGGAUGAGACAUUUUCAGGUUAGCCAAGAAUUGUGAUGAGGAUCAACACAAGAGUUCAUUUCAUUAUAAUUUUGUUUUGGUUUUGUAUAAUUUUAAGUCUGCACACUGUUGGGAUCUUGACCAUUUGUUGUGACCCAUUUUAAGAUUUAAGAAUUGUGAGAGAGAUGUUAUCCUCUUGUAAGGAUCUUAUUUUAAGAGAGGUGUUUCUUUUAGAGAAUUGUGAGAGAGAUGUUAUCCUCAAGUUUUUAAAUUAGAACUUGCUUUAACUUUGUCAA